RNAcentral lists this ribosomal RNA (603 nucleotides) under uncultured bacterium. RNAcentral describes it as "bacterial SSU rRNA". The stretch from base 1 to 520 matches the Rfam family "Bacterial small subunit ribosomal RNA", at positions 338 to 873 of the family's 1533-position model. The record is from RNAcentral.
CCUACGGGAGGCAGCAGUGGGGAAUAUUGCGCAAUGGGCGAAAGCCUGACGCAGCAACGCCGCGUAAGGGAUGACGGCCUUCGGGUUGUAAACCUCUUUCAGCAGGGAAGAAGCGAAAGUGACGGUACCUGCAGAAGAAGCACCGGCUAACUACGUGCCAGCAGCCGCGGUAAUACGUAGGGUGCAAGCGUUGUCCGGAUUUAUUGGGCGUAAAGAGCUCGUAGGCGGUUAGUCACGUCGGAUGUGAAAUCCCGGAGCUUAACUCCGGGCCUGCAUUCGAUACGGGCUGACUCGAGUAUUGUAGGGGAGACUGGAACUCCUGGUGUAGCGGUGAAAUGCGCAGAUAUCAGGAAGAACACCGGUGGCGAAGGCGGGUCUCUGGGCAAUUACUGACGCUGAGGAGCGAAAGCGUGGGGAGCAAACAGGAUUAGAUACCCUGGUAGUCCACGCCGUAAACGGUGGCGCUAGGUGUGGGGACCCUUCCACGGUCUCCGUGCCGCAGCUACGCAUAGCGCCCGCCGCGGAGUACGGCCGCGAGACGUAAACGACGAAGAAGUAGUAACGGUCGUGAGACGUGCCGACGGACGACGACGAGGGAGGAGG